This 428-nucleotide ribosomal RNA is filed under the name uncultured bacterium. Its description in RNAcentral is "bacterial SSU rRNA". It matches the Rfam family "Bacterial small subunit ribosomal RNA", at positions 29 to 436 of the family's 1533-position model. The record is from RNAcentral.
AAUGAACGCUGGCGGCGUGCUUAACACAUGCAAGUCGAACGAGAAAGGGAUUGCUUGCAAUCCCGAGUAGAGUGGCGCACGGGUGAGUAACACGUGGAUAAUCUACCUUUGAAUCCGGGAUAACUGUUCGAAAGAAUCGCUAAUACCGGAUGAGAUCAAUAUUUCCUUGGAAAUAUUGAUGAAAGACAGCCUCUUCUUGAAAGCUGUUGUUUGAAGAUGAGUCCGCGCACCAUUAGUUUGUUGGUGGGGUAACGGCCUACCAAGACCAUGAUGGUUAGCUGGUCUGAGAGGAUGAUCAGCCACACUGGAACUGACACACGGUCCAGACUCCUACGGGAGGCAGCAGUGAGGAAUUUUGCGCAAUGGGGGCAACCCUGACGCAGCAACGCCGCGGGAGUGAAGAAGGCCUUUGGGUCGUAAAACUCUGU